GGUGAGGGGUGCACUUAUUAGAUUAGAUACCAAACGGUGCCAGACGUAGUUUGUGGUGACUCUGGAUAACUUUGUAUGAUCGCAGCUGGCCUUGUUGUCGGCGACGGAUCCAUCAAAUAUCUGCCCUAUCAACUUUCGAUGGUAGGAGACAUGCCUACCAUGGUUAUGACGGGUAACGGGGAAUCAGGGUUCGAUUCCGGAGAGGGAGCCUGAGAAACGGCUACCACAUCCAAGGAAGGCAGCAGGCGCGUAAAUUACCCACUCUCUGAACGAGGAGGUAGUGAAGAUAAAUAUCGAUACAGAACUCAAAUGAGGCUCUGUAAUCGAAAUGAGUGCAAUAUAAAUCCUACAACGAGGAUCUAUUGGAGGGCAAGUCUGGUGCCAGCAGCCGCGGUAACUCCCGCUCCAAUAGCGUAUAUUAAAGUUGCUGCAGUUAAAAAGCUCGUAGUUGGAUCUGGGCCAUGUAUUGACUGUCGGUUUCGCCUUAGCAUAUUUCGGUAUGUUGGGGUUGGCCCGUUAACCUCACUCAUGACUUCCCAGCUCCGCCCCCUGUGCUCCCCUCGCAUCCCAAUGAUAUAGGGUGUGUCAUUUAGCGACCUGUCGGCGGAGGCACAAAAAACACAGGGUGCUCCGCUGGUGAUCGUCA
RNAcentral lists this ribosomal RNA (646 nucleotides) under Cornudiscoides heterotylus. Its description in RNAcentral is "SSU rRNA". It matches the Rfam family "Eukaryotic small subunit ribosomal RNA", at positions 193 to 793 of the family's 1831-position model. The record is from RNAcentral. Lineage: Eukaryota; Metazoa; Platyhelminthes; Monogenea; Dactylogyridea; Ancylodiscoididae.